GCGGCAGUGGCGCAAGCAGGCAGACGCGCCGCUCUUAAAAAGCGGAUGAUGUGAGUUCGAGUCUCACCUGCCGCACCA
This 78-nucleotide transfer RNA is filed under the name Acidobacteriota bacterium. RNAcentral describes it as "tRNA-Leu". It matches the Rfam family "tRNA". From Rfam's summary of the family: Transfer RNA (tRNA) molecules are approximately 80 nucleotides in length. Their secondary structure includes four short double-helical elements and three loops (D, anti-codon, and T loops). Lineage: Bacteria; Pseudomonadati; Acidobacteriota. The record is from RNAcentral.